CUCUCUCUCCUCCUUCCUCUUUUCUUUUCUCUCUUUCUCUUUCUCCCCCUCCUUCUUUCUCUCUCUUCUCCCCUUCCCCUCCUUCCUUCUCCCUCCUUUCCUCCCCUCCCUUCCCUUUUCCCGCCGGCACCCUUCCCCUCCCUCUCUCUCUCCCCCUCCGUGACUGGUCACAACCAAAGGGCCUCAACCAGAGAUUCAGAUCUAGUAGUAACUGGUCGCAAUCAGAAGCUAGUCGCGACCAUCUAAUCGAUGGCCGUGCACCAACAACCAGAUCUGAAGUGGAGGGGAAGGAGUUUCUGGCAUAGGGAAAGGGUAGGGAGAGGAGAGGAGGAGGGAGGGGAUGGUGGUAGUGGUGGUGGUAGGUGGCGAUGGCGGUGGUGGGUGGCGAAAGAAAAAGAAGUGAUAGAAUUAUUAUUAUUAUUAUUGUAUUUGUGAGUUGUUUUUUACGGAUUGAUGUUUUUUAAGUUAUUUUUAUUUGUUUAUUUCUGUAACAUUGUAUCUAAAAAAUUAGUUUUUAAAAGAUAGCAAUAUCCAAACAGAGCCAAAUCUUGUUCAGAUUCAUUUGUAGAUUUACAAAAUAUUGCAUUUUGAGUUUGCAAUUAUAGUGUUGUCUCAUUAGUUCUUUAGAUAUUGCACGAAUCCUUUAAUUUGAGUGCAAAAUUAAUGAUUCCCAUAAAAAUAUAAGAAUACUAUUAGAUAUUUAACCAAAAUUUUAAAAUUUUGAUGCUCCUGAUGGCAGAGGUUAUCGAUGCACUGCAAA
Molecule: long non-coding RNA, 760 nt
Filed under: Coffea arabica (coffee)
Lineage: Eukaryota; Viridiplantae; Streptophyta; Magnoliopsida; Gentianales; Rubiaceae
Description: long non-coding RNA (CARA_LNC004623)
Source: RNAcentral